AUAUAUAUAUAUAUGUAUGUAUGUAUGUAAAAGCAGACUAUGGUCCUAAACUUUAGACAUGUCCUGCUUUUAUGCUCUCUGCUUCAGAUUCCCUGUAACAUAUAAAUACAGCAUUGUUGAUGCUUAGCUCAGAAAAAAAUAAAUACUCUCUUAACUUCCAAGAGAGUGUGUUGCAGCCAGUUGAAGUCAAUACAUCUUAAUUUGGUGGAAGAUGUUCCUACCAGCUGAUUGUAGUUAACCAUUCAAAGAGUUUACCAAGGGCCACGGCAGCAAAAUUCCUUCUAUUUAAGACUGCCUGGUUGCCUGUCAGGAAAAUGUGUUCCUGAGUUGGUGUAGCAACACUGGAAUCACUUUUUGGUGACAACUCUGUGGACUGACAGCCUCUAGUAACGUCAAUCUAUUAAUCUCUUGCUCUGUGCCAUAAAGUAUUCUGUCCUCCUUCCGUUAAAAGCUGAAAGUAAGUAAAUACAGGUCCCAUCAUGAGAUCAUUUUGCUUGCAUUCAGGUUGUCUACAAAGCCUCUACUUGAGGUGGACAAGCAGAAGGGCAAAAGAAGAUCUUUCCAUCCUUGGCAUAAGGCCAGCCAAGGUGUGACACUGUGAGCCUGGGGCUCGGGAGCUGCAGAGCUGCCCUGGUCAUUCUGCUUUGCUGUGCACAACAGCCAGUGUUACUGACACUGUCUGGGGGAAGGGCAAGGUGUUAAACUUGCUCUGAGCUUGGAGUGUUUUUGGACCAGGUCAGGCCAGCCUUAAGUGCUGCACGCCUUUGGGUGGCUGCCAGCAGAUCCUGUGGGGUUUUGUAACACCUAAAAAAGAGCCUGGGAAUACAAGAGCUCUUGAGUUUGCAGAGUGAGAAGAGCCCUUAGACUGUUUCCCAACCUUGUCUGCUUAAGUUACCAUCCUGUGUAAAAGAAGAUAGUAAUUAUUUACUCACAUUGUCUUCAGCUGUUGAUGUUUUACCUGGAAACGCAAUGCAGGUCUUUUAAAGCACAUAUGGUGGCUACAGCAGCCUAGAGCCAAAGCCUGUCAUCUCUCCAGCUCCCUUGCCUUCCUCUCUCCCCAGGUGUUUAGUUGGCAGAAGGACUUCUUUCAAAUUCUGGUAUUUUAUUUAAAAACAUAGACUCAGCUUAAACUCAGAGGUUUUAAACUGGUUGCAAUUAAGCUUUAACAACGGGAAGGUUCUUAGGGAGGUGCUGUGUCCCUUUGAAAUGGCUUUUUGAAGAAAAGCAUCUGCAUCCCUCCUGCAGCCAGCUGGACUGCACUGCAGGGUUAACUUUCACUGUUACCUGUGGCCUUGUGCCUCCUGACACACUCAAGGCAUGUAUGGAAGGACCAAUAAAACAUGUCCUGGAGUGUUUGGUGUAUUUUUAGAGUUUGUCCCAGAUUACUGGCCUUUGUCCCAGAUUUCAGUGGUUAGGGUAUAAGAAUGCCCGGUGGGGCAGAGUGCUUCCUGCAUUGCUCUCAGGAAGGCUUUAAUCAGGAAAAAUACCCUCUCAGAGAAGGCAAAUAAUUAAGUUUUUGUGGCAUAUACUCUACUGCCAUUAGCAGGAGAUGAUAAACACUCAAGACCACAGUUUAAAUAGAGCGAGGCAGACACACUAAGCUUUAAAGUGCAACAUUAUUGUGUUACGUGGUAUUGAGUAAUGAAUUGGACAUUACUAACAAGGCAAUUUUCCUUUUGUCUUAUUGGGACCAGAAUUUGUUUUACACCAUAAAGUGUCUGCCUUUGCUGCUCAUCAUGGGAAAAUGCUGAUGUAAACCACCUGGAGGAAGCUCAUCCCACAUGCUGGCAGCUGGCAAUGUGCAAGUGGGGAGCUAAUGUUGGAAGGGAUCUUCAGGUGUCAUCCUGUCCAUUCUCCUCCCUUUGGCAGUGUUUAAUUGACCCAUGGCAUUCCUGAUAAAUGCUCAUUCUACUUCUUCCUGCAGUGCUCCAGGCUCACAGGCAUGAUGAGUUUAGCCUGACAGAACUUCUUCCCUCCUGUAUAACCUCAACCUUUCCUGAUGUAGUUUGGUCCUUACUGAGUAUAUGGGGGAAUGAUUCCUCCUUUUCUCUCUUCAGCUUUUACCCAUUGGAAGAUCAUCUCUCCUCAGCCUGCCAAAGUCAAAACACUGAAAUUCAUUCGUCCCUUCCUGACAUUUCUAGUUGUGCAGCAUGACACUCACUCCAUUCCUUGGACUGCUUAGCCAUAUCUCAGGAGCUAAAUUCCUUUGCUGAAGUCCUGGACUCCCCAUGCCAAUAUCACUGGCAUCUACUCCUCGGCUCUGGGGAAAUUCUCUGGAUUCAGCUCUCCCAGUUAUUUUGAAGGUCUUUGGGAUGCUGAAGAGCUGCCUGAUGGACCCAUCCAAGCAAUUUCUGGCUUUAAUUUUCUUCCAUCUCAGUCUUGCCUCCUUACCUUCCUACCAACUGCUUCUUGCCCAGCUGCCCUAAUGCACUUUAUCAGACUAUUUCUUCAGCCUCAUGGCAUAGGACAUAGCACAUGUAACAAAUACUAAGUAUAAAAACUAUUCUGUUAAGAAUCUAGUCACUGGUCCAUCAGUUUUGUAGGGAGAUGGGAGUGACACAGCACCAGGACAGAGGCAGAUAAAGUUCUGCUGCACUCAGUCAUGCCUGUGAGAACCUGCUCUCCUUCCCAGAGCUCUCCAGUAUUCAACUCUUGGACAUUUUGGCAUAUUAUCAGUGAUAAAUGUAUUCACAAGUAAGAGCAGACAGCCCUGCAGGUUGUGAUGCCAGGGUAUUGUGGGUUCUUGGCAUCAGCAGUGCCUGUCUGUGGAUUUCAGACGAAUGAAACAGAAAUAUUUUUAUAGUCAGCCUCAAGUUUUUAUCUAUUUGUAGAUGUCUUGGUGUCCCCUAAAUAGGGAUUAGGUCCUUUGGCAGGAAGACUGCACUUUAUGUCUUGACUUUCCUGGCCCCAUAUCCACCCAACCUUCUCUUGCUCCUGAAGGCCACUGAUCUUGUCCUUUAUUUUUGCUACCAAAUACCACUCAUUUGUAUUGAGAAACAGGUUCCAGCAGUAGGGAAAUUAUCAAUAAUCCAGUUGGUGUAGCAAUCUGUUUCUCAUUUCUUGUGACCUAUCCUGCUGUGGGAUGAUGCACCCACAAUAAUUAUUACUGUUAAUUAUUCACCUACAGUAGUUUAAAUGCUUGCAAGUGCCUACUGACAUCAGAUGUGAAAAAAAUUCAAUAAUGAUGGAGGGAGAAGAAAGAUUUUUAAAAACCGAGGAUGACAUGAGACAAGGAUGAGAAGGGUGAAGGAUAUAUGGCAGAGGUACUGGUUGGGGGUAUUCUGGUGGCCUGGGUUCCAGCUCAAGCUUCUGCAGGAUCUCUGAUAGGCUUUGCUUUACUUAUCUCUUAAGUCGGGAUCAGAAUAGGAACAACGGACUUUAUCCACAGAAGUAAUUAAAAUGUUGCACUCCCUGGCAGCAGAGUUAAAAUCAAUUUCUCUAAUACAAGAUGAAGAGCAAUUGGCCAGGCUGCUGCCAUGUGGAAAAAGAUCUGGGACUGUGAUGCUUGGGAGUGCAGCAGAAACCCAGUGCUGCAAAAAUCCAGCAGUUCUCCUGGGAUGUCUGUUGUGAGGGGCACACUGGCAUGGGUCAGUCUUUCCAUUCAACUUGGUAAUGGCAGGAUCUUGGCUCAAGAACAAUUUCCACACCUCAGGAAACAUAUGGCUCAGCUGGGGAAAGCCCAAGGAGGUGCAUAAAAAGUGACUGGAGGUGUAGGAAACCUGCCUUUGAGGUAAAGAGGAGAGAGAGAAGUGUGUGGUCUGAACAGGGGACUGAGCUGAGACAAAACAAAUUGUCAAAUACAUGCAAGACUGAUGCAAAGAGGAGUGGCACAAUGUGUCCUUUUGCCUUCUGCAAGUAGGGUGAGUAAUGGGCUUCAACUCCAGCAGGAACAACACAGGUAAAUGAUCAGGAAAAAUUUUCCAGUGCUAUGGCUGUUGUAGAAUUGGCACUGCAGGAAUUUGUUAGUCAAAGCUCUUGCAGGAGUGGUUGAGGUAUUGUUGAUUGCACUGGGAGCCUCUUAGAGGGGUUUAUCCAACUGGUUUUUUUUUUUUAUUUUCUCCAGUUGCCACUGAAUCACUGGAAUUCAGCACUGCAGCAUUUGGGAACACCUGCCACAAUAGCACCUGCCUGUUUGUAAUCAAGAGGAUUGCAAAGCAAUCACAUGCAUAUUUAGCUGAUGUGCAGCUCCCAGGAUUGAUGGUGCACAGAAACAAGCUAAGAAAUACGUGUGCUGUAACUGUGGAAGUUGGUUAUUCUGGAGCACUGAAAAUCCAGCUUUUCUUUGACAAGGAGAUGCUGCACGUGAGAAAUAUUGCAGGUUAUAUUUAGUGUUACACAGGCACAAAGGAAAUCUCGUUAGAACCCACUGACAGUGAUCUGUUGAAAAGGGAAUAGGAGCGAUUUGUGAGCUCGUGGGAAAACAGUGCAUCUCUGUUCUGCCCUGUCCUCAGUGUCUGCUGCUACUCUAGGACACAGAUUUCUUGAGAGAAGGAUCUGUGCCUGCUUGCCCAGUUAGCUCUGAUACAUCAUAUUUUAUUUACUGGGAGACUUGAACAAUGAGCAGCAAACACUCUUGGUCCUAUUUUAAACACAUGAAAACUGCAGUACAGAGUAAUAAAAUGACUUGCUCAGAGUCACAGAGCAAUUUUGUGGCAGGGCUUGGAUCAAAAUCCAGCUCCCUUGCUCCCAAACCCGUGUGCCAGCCUUUCUCUGCAUUGACCCUUAAUUUUAAUCACCUACCAAGAAAUUCUGUUGGCCUCUUCCAGUUGACUUCCAUGGGAGUAAUGCCAGGUAUCAAAUGAAGUCACUGGGAAUAUCAAUGCAAAAGAAGCCAAUAUUAGAUGAAAAGAAAGAACUGAUGGAAGGGGAAAAAAUAGAUUUUACAAAAAAAAAAAAAGAAAGAAAAAAAAGAAUAAGUUCUAAUGCCGUUUCCAUAAUAUCAUUCCCCUUUUAAUUUGUGCCUCGUCAAAAUUAAAAAAAAAUAGAUUGCUAAUAUUAAUAGAUGAAAUGAAUCUUGAAUUUUAUAAUAGUGGAGGAAAUGAAAGGAACAAAGUAAUAUUGUGUUGUUAACUGAGAUUUUAAUAAUGAUUCUGUCCUCAGUUGGUGCAUUUAUUCCACAGAAAGUAAAUCAUUAAUGAAGAGGAGAGGAAAACAGUUUUGUGGUGAUGGAUUUUUGAAAGAAAAGUUUAAUUUUGCUAAACUUCCAGAAACUCUGAAAUGUGUCUGGAGCUCUAAAACUAAAACACCAGCACCUCAAAAACAGCUCAUAAAAGUGGGAUUUAGCCAAGUGGUUAACAUUGCCUGGGGAGUGGUGGAGGAUGUCCAUGGCUGCUCUCCAAGAGAGCUGAGAUGAGUGGAUGAGGUAGGUAAGAGAUGCUGGUUUGAUGGAGGAAGGAAGAUUUGAAGGUUUGCCGUUGGUUGGUUGCAUUCUCAUAACUAUUUCUGAAUGACACCUGGAGAGCAGUAGGACAUCAUCCUCACUCUGAACCAAGGGAAUCCCACUGGGCUCAUCCUACAUUUUUCUGUGGACUUCUGCAAGACCUGCUUCCACCAUGUCCUCUGCAGGGGGGUGGGUGCACUCAAACCCCUCUGAGUGCUGUGAGGGUGUUUGAUUUCCCAGGUGAAUUAAAAACCCACCAAGGCUAGCAUGUCCACCUACCCACCACUGUCUUCAACCACCUCCAAGGAGUCCCAAAAAAAAAAGGGCUCCCUGGAGCACCAGCCUAUUUCACACCAACUCCCCUGGUAAAAAAUGUCAAUCACGGUCUCACAAUGGUGGAGGAGAAAAGCAUCUCUGUAGCUGAGAUUUGCUGCCUAAGAAAAAGCCAAUAUGGAACAUACAUGGCUGUUUCUGCAUGAAGGAGAUAGGGGAAAACACAGAAUUCCCCAGAUUCCUUAAUGAGCACAGCACCCCAACAAUUAAUGUAGAAAUUUGCGAAUUAAACCACAUUUCUGUAUUUAAAUUAUCAAAUCAGUAAAGAGAUGUAAACAUUAAACAACAUUAUAUGAGACCCUGGAGUGUCACCACAAAAAAUUAAGACUAUGUAAUUAAAAGUACAAUGCAAUUUAUUUUUAUAUCGUUCUUCAUUCAAAUCAACAAAUCUUAUUACUUACCCAAAAAUGUAAAGCAGACUGCAAACUAAUUCAAAAGAUGAAGACAAAGUGGCUAUUGAAAACUCUAUGUUUGUUGUUCCCUUAGAUCUGGCACCAGUCAUGAUUUAAUAUUUUAACCACUGUAAUAGGUUAUACUGCUGAAGAAAAGUGCAUUAAUUACUAUGGGAAACCUAAAAAAAAAUCUAAUUAAGAAGAAUAAAAUCAUUCUUAUUGACUGGGAAAAAUAAAACUAUGUAAAGGGAAAUGAGGGAUGAAAAAACUGACAACACACAAAUAUUAAUAAAUGUUGUCUGCUCAGGGUAGGAAACACAGUUCUGCUGUUACUGGGGGUUUGGAUUUGAAACUGGCUGGAAAUCACAGUUGGCCAUGGCUAAAGCUCUUCUCUCACCCACUGGAAGCACCUUCUAAUUAACUGCAGCUCGGGAAGUUGAGUUUGCUUUGAGUUCAGCCCAACAUGUCCAUGCAGAGCCAGCCCCACUGGCUGUGUCUGAAACAACAGACUAAAGCAUGAGAUUGAACUGUGUUUCAGGGUGUUGUAUGGGGUAACGAAAGGAUUAUCUUGGCAGUUGACAUCCUUCCUACAAAAUUAGAGAGGGCAUGUGUGAUAAAGCAGCCCAGUGUCCCAAACCAUGCCUGGGGACACCAUAGGAAGGAAUCACCAUGGGCAGAUGCCACUCUGUCUUUCUACCAGCCACAGCCUUUUAAAGGAAUGUAAAAGGAAUGUUUUUAUGUGAAAUGCCUACCACCUCGUUUGCUUGGCCCCAAGGAAAGCCAUCUUUUGACUUCACCCCCAAGUAGCCACUGCAAGGGAGAACUUGCACCCCCUUUGUGUGCCUUCACAGGAUCCUCAGGGAUGCAGGGUUGCUUUGGGAACAGGUGCAUCUUGUGUCAGCCAGAAACAGCAGCCAAAAGUGUUAGGAGGUGUUCGACUAUGUUUUCCAGAUGUGAAACUAGGUGGGACCAUGUGGUUUUGUCAUUGCUGGGAUUGGACUCUGGGGCUGUGAUUUUGAGCUUCCAUCCCAAUUUGGAAUAAGAGUGUGUUUGUUUCAUGACUUUGAGCAUUCUCGUUGGCAAAAGUAGUUUUCUGCCCAACUUUACUGCCCUCGUUACUAAGGAUCCCAACGAUGUCAAAAUGUCUAUGGAUGUUAAAAAGAAGGGAGAGGAUUCCAUAGGGUCAACAUCAACAGUAAGUGUUAAAACAAAUACACAUGGUUUAAUUACUUCAGCUGAUAUUAGUAGUAUUAAUGCCUUUUCAAGCAGAAGUAAUCCUUUGAUCACUUACAUUUACUUCACAUAUGAAAUAGACUGCAGAACUUUGGCCAGUUCUUUUGUGCCGAAUCCAGUAGCUUGUACAUCAUUAAUAUCUCCAAACAUGAAAAAUUAGUGGUAUAAAUUUUGCACAGCCCUUCCAGGAUUACAAAUCUUCAUCAAAGGCAAGAAGAAUUGUCUGAGGAAUAAGGACUUCUAGGUCCAAUGAGCGCAUGGUCUGCCAGAAAGGAAGAAACUGAGUGAAAUCUUUGCAACAAAUAAUGCUAUUAUGGAUGUGUACUUGCACAGAAAGCCAGCAAAAGGGCACUGCAGCACCUCAGCUGUGUUUUGGUGGUAUCACUGACACCAAGAGUCACACAGCUUUGUACUCAAAGGAAGAGAUGAAACACCGUGGACUCCAUCGACAGUAUUGACUGGCUCUCUGUUGACUGGUGAGGGAGCCACGAGUGACUCCCUCAAGUGUAGAUUUCUGCUUUAGUUGGGUGAACCUACCGAGAGCUUCAUGCCCAUACUGUAAGACUUGGAUGCUCUGAGCAGCCCAGACUGUGGCAUUUCAGUCAAUGACUUCUAUGGCAAGCGACACCCAUCAGGAGGAGUUUGCAAUGUAAGUGGACGAAAGAAAUCGCAGGUGGGAAACAGAAAUUCCCUGUGAUCAGGAGGAAAUAAAGUCUGUGCUUCCUGCACCACA
Chiroxiphia lanceolata (lance-tailed manakin) is the source of this 8071-nucleotide long non-coding RNA. RefSeq lists it as uncharacterized. Lineage: Eukaryota; Metazoa; Chordata; Aves; Passeriformes; Pipridae. The transcript has 2 exons. The record is from RefSeq and is a predicted model, not a curated record.